RNAcentral lists this transfer RNA (74 nucleotides) under Armillaria gallica. RNAcentral's name for it is "tRNA-Ala". Lineage: Eukaryota; Fungi; Basidiomycota; Agaricomycetes; Agaricales; Physalacriaceae. The record is from RNAcentral.
UCUCUGGUGGUGUAUCGGUUAGUACACGCGCCCUGCAUGAGUGGAACUAGUGGGUUCGACUCCCAGCCAGAGAU